GAGGUGGCAAGCGUUGUCCGGAAUUAUUGGGCGUAAAGCGCGCGCAGGCGGUUCUUUAAGUCUGAUGUGAAAGCCCACGGGCUCAACCGUGAGGGUCAUUGGAAACUGGAGAACUUGAGUACAGAAGAGGAAAGCGGAAUUCCACGUGUAGCGGUGAAAUGCGUAGAGAUGUGGAGGAACACCAGUGGCGAAGGCGGCUUUCUGGUCUGUAACUGACGCUGAGGCGCGAAAGCGUGGGGAGCAAACAGGAUUAGAUACCCUGGUAGUCCACGCCGUAAACGAUGAGUGCUAAGUGUUAGGGGGUUUCCGCCCCUUAGUGCUGCAGCUAACGCAUUAAGCACUCCGCCUGGGGAGUACGGCCGCAAGGCUG
This 370-nucleotide ribosomal RNA is filed under the name uncultured organism. Its description in RNAcentral is "partial 16S ribosomal RNA". It matches the Rfam family "Bacterial small subunit ribosomal RNA", at positions 528 to 896 of the family's 1533-position model. The record is from RNAcentral.